RNAcentral lists this ribosomal RNA (492 nucleotides) under uncultured bacterium. Its description in RNAcentral is "partial 16S ribosomal RNA". It matches the Rfam family "Bacterial small subunit ribosomal RNA", at positions 29 to 507 of the family's 1533-position model. The record is from RNAcentral.
AGUGAACGCUGGCGGUAGGCCUAACACAUGCAAGUCGAACGGCAGCACAGUAAGAGCUUGCUCUUACGGGUGGCGAGUGGCGGACGAGUGAGGAAUACAUCGGAAUCUACUUUUUCGUGGGGGAUAACGUAGGGAAACUUACGCUAAUACCACAUACGACCUACGGGUGAAAGCAGGGGAUCUUCGGACCUUGCGCGAUUGAAUGAGCCGAUGUCGGAUUAGCUAGUUGGCGGGGUAAAGGCCCACCAAGGCGACGAUCCGUAGCUGGUCUGAGAGGAUGAUCAGCCACACUGGAACUGAGACACGGUCCAGACUCCUACGGGAGGCAGCAGUGGGGAAUAUUGGACAAUGGGCGCAAGCCUGAUCCAGCCAUACCGCGUGGGUGAAGAAGGCCUUCGGGUUGUAAAGCCCUUUUGUUGGGAAAGAAAAGCAGCAGGUUAAUACCCCGCUGUUCUGACGGUACCCAAAGAAUAAGCACCGGCUAACUUCGUG